RNAcentral lists this ribosomal RNA (388 nucleotides) under Prasinoderma sp. RNAcentral's name for it is "partial small subunit ribosomal RNA". It matches the Rfam family "Eukaryotic small subunit ribosomal RNA", at positions 582 to 975 of the family's 1831-position model. The record is from RNAcentral. Lineage: Eukaryota; Viridiplantae; Prasinodermophyta; Prasinodermophyceae; Prasinodermales; Prasinodermaceae.
AUUCCAGCUCCAAUAGCGUAUAUUUGAGUUGUUGCAGUUAAAAAGCUCGUAGUUGGAUUUUGGGUCGGGGGCACCGGUCCGCCGUUCCGGUGUGCACUGGUGGCCCCUUCCUUUCUGCCGGGGACGUGCGUCGCACUUAAUUGGGUGGCGUUCGGAGUCGGCGUUGUUACUUUGAAAAAAUUAGAGUGUUCAAAGCAAGCCAUCGCUCUGAAUACAUUAGCAUGGAAUAACAUGAUAGGACUCCGGUCUUAUUUUGUUGGUUUCCGAGACUGGAGUAAUGAUUAAGAGGGACAGUCGGGGGCAUCCGUAUUUCAUUGUCAGAGGUGAAAUUCUUGGAUUUAUGAAAGACGAACUUCUGCGAAAGCAUUUGCCAAGGAUGUUUUCAUUG